RNAcentral lists this ribosomal RNA (879 nucleotides) under uncultured bacterium. RNAcentral's name for it is "bacterial SSU rRNA". It matches the Rfam family "Bacterial small subunit ribosomal RNA", at positions 29 to 898 of the family's 1533-position model. The record is from RNAcentral.
AUGAACGCUAGCUACAGGCUUAACACAUGCAAGUCGAGGGGAAACGACAUCGAAAGCUUGCUUUUGAUGGGCGUCGACCGGCGCACGGGUGAGUAACGCGUAUCCAACCUGCCCAUCACUUGGGGAUAACCUUGCGAAAGUAAGACUAAUACCCAAUGACGUCUCUAGAAGACAUCUGAAGGAGAUUAAAGAUUUAUCGGUGAUGGAUGGGGAUGCGUCUGAUUAGCUUGUUGGCGGGGUAACGGCCCACCAAGGCGACGAUCAGUAGGGGUUCUGAGAGGAAGGUCCCCCACAUUGGAACUGAGACACGGUCCAAACUCCUACGGGAGGCAGCAGUGAGGAAUAUUGGUCAAUGGGCGAGAGCCUGAACCAGCCAAGUAGCGUGCAGGAUGACGGCCCUAUGGGUUGUAAACUGCUUUUAUAAGGGAAUAAAGUGAGUCUCGUGAGACUUUUUGCAUGUACCUUAUGAAUAAGGACCGGCUAAUUCCGUGCCAGCAGCCGCGGUAAUACGGAAGGUCCGGGCGUUAUCCGGAUUUAUUGGGUUUAAAGGGAGCGUAGGCCGGAGAUUAAGCGUGUUGUGAAAUGUAGACGCUCAACGUCUGCACUGCAGCGCGAACUGGUUUCCUUGAGUACGCACAAAGUGGGCGGUAUUCGUGGUGUAGCGGUGAAAUGCUUAGAUAUCACGAAGAACUCCGAUUGCGAAGGCAGCUCACUGGAGCGCAACUGACGCUGAAGCUCGAAAGUGCGGGUAUCGAACAGGAUUAGAUACCCUGGUAGUCCGCACGGUAAACGAUGGAUGCCCGCUGUUGGUCUGAAUAGGUCAGCGGCCAAGCGAAAGCAUUAAGCAUCCCACCUGGGGAGUACGCCGGCAACGGUGAA